CAGCCGCCGCGGUAAUACGGAGGGCGCGAGCGUUGUCCGGAUUCACUGGGCGUAAAGCGGGUGUAGGCGGUCGGGUAAGUCGGACGUGAAAGCCCGGGGCUCAACCCCGGAAGGGCGUCCGAAACUGCUCGACUUGAGGGCGGGAGAGGGAGGUGGAAUUCCCGGUGUAGUGGUGAAAUGCGUAGAUAUCGGGAGGAACACCAGUGGCGAAGGCGGCCUCCUGGCCCGCUCCUGACGCUGAGACCCGAAAGCGUGGGGAGCAACCCGGAUUAGAUCCCCGGGUAGUCCACGCCGUAAACGGUGGGCACUAGGUGUGGGGGGUUAAUCCCUCCGUGCCGAAGCUAACGCAUUAAGUGCCCCGCCUGGGGAGUACGGCCGCAAGGUUGAAACUUAAAGGAAUUGGCGGG
RNAcentral lists this ribosomal RNA (407 nucleotides) under uncultured microorganism. RNAcentral's name for it is "bacterial SSU rRNA". It matches the Rfam family "Bacterial small subunit ribosomal RNA", at positions 509 to 917 of the family's 1533-position model. The record is from RNAcentral.